RNAcentral lists this long non-coding RNA (623 nucleotides) under Vigna radiata. Its description in RNAcentral is "long non-coding RNA (VRAD_LNC013914)". Lineage: Eukaryota; Viridiplantae; Streptophyta; Magnoliopsida; Fabales; Fabaceae. The record is from RNAcentral.
GAAGAGUGCAUACGUUUAAAUGAAAAUGAACUUUUAAGAAAGAAAAGGAAUUCUACUUCCGUGCUUAAAUGAAAAACAAUCCAAAAUGUAUGAAUCAACACUAUCUAAUAUUAAGCAAAGAUAAAAAAAAAUCACCGCUUCAAUUCAAAAGAAAGAAAAAAAUAACUUCUAACAUUUUGGCAGCAACGUGCUUCUUCAAUUUUUCAUCAUUCAACCCGUGUCUAGCCAUUUCUCCAUAUAAAAACAUAAGCGUUGCCUCCCAAAAUCUGCCGAGAAAAGUCUAUGGUGCCUCCAAAGAGAAUGACGGCUGUAGCUCCUCCUAGGAUCAUGUGUCCUAAAAUUGGAGUGGGGUCCACCCUAAAAAAAAUAAAACCCUAGGGUGCCAAGUGUCCUACAAUUUUGGGCCCUCAUAUUUUUGCCAGCAAUGGCCCAAAUGUGCACAAGUUUAAUUAAAAAUAUUCUAUACUACUAAGUUACAAUGUAAUUAAAUUUGAAAUGUCCAAGUGAAGAGUCUUGACUUUAUUUUGUCUCUUCNAAAUGUCCCAAAUUGUGUUUCCAAAAUUUUCCCUGCAAAUAAUAAUACAAAUAAUUAGCUCAGAAAAUUCAAAUUAAUUAAAAUUAGA